Long non-coding RNA from Pogoniulus pusillus (Red-fronted tinkerbird), 515 nucleotides. RefSeq lists it as uncharacterized. Lineage: Eukaryota; Metazoa; Chordata; Aves; Piciformes; Lybiidae. The record is from RefSeq and is a predicted model, not a curated record. The transcript has 2 exons.
GUGAGGAUGGAAAGGCAGGCAGCACAGUCAUGUGGGCUCCACCAACUUGCUCACAGACCAGAGUUUUCCUCCACUUUUGCCUUUUCCCUUCCAGUGAGGUUAUCCACAGCAUCUGCUGUGUGAAGCCCCAAGAAGUCUGCACAAAGGACCAGCUGCCCUCUGGUGAGCUGCACCUACCAGAGCAACACCUGUGGUUCCAUCUCCUGUUCUUUCCUUACCCGGCCUGAUUCCAGGCCCUGUUGCCAAACUGGGAGAGUGGGAGACAGUGGACACAGGGUACAUAAGGAGCUGUCCACUGACAGACCAAAGGAUAUGGGAAAUCCAUGAGCUUCCAUUUGAUUAAUUGAAAGAGGUGAGUAGCUGAGCCCUCUACAGCUCUGCUGAGAGCUGAGUUGGAUACAUAGUUCCUGAUGGUGUCUUCUAAAAUCUAACCUUCAAACAUGCCAAACCAUGACUUAGUUUGACAAAUAAGCAUUUUCUCUUAGUAAAGAGAACAAUCCAUGAGUCUGUUAAAA